UGCCAGACUCCUACGGGAGGCAGCAGUGGGGAAUAUUGCACAAUGGGGGAAACCCUGAUGCAGCAACGCCGCGUGAGUGAAGAAGUAUUUCGGUAUGUAAAGCUCUAUCAGCAGGGAAGAAGAAAGACGGUACCUGACUAAGAAGCCCCGGCUAACUACGUGCCAGCAGCCGCGGUAAUACGUAGGGGGCAAGCGUUAUCCGGAUUUACUGGGUGUAAAGGGAGCGUAGACGGCAUAGCAAGUCUGAAGUGAAAGCCCGUGGCUCAACCCUGGGACUGCUCUGGAAACUGUAAAGCUGGAGUGCGGGAGGGGCAGGCGGAAUUCCUGGUGUAGCGGUGAAAUGCGUAGAUAUCAGGAGGAACACCGGCGGCGAAGGCGGCCUGCUGGACCGUAACUGACGUUGAGGCUCGAAAGCGUGGGGAGCAAACAGGAUUAGAUACCCGUGUAAA
RNAcentral lists this ribosomal RNA (449 nucleotides) under uncultured bacterium. RNAcentral describes it as "partial 16S ribosomal RNA". It matches the Rfam family "Bacterial small subunit ribosomal RNA", at positions 329 to 793 of the family's 1533-position model. The record is from RNAcentral.